Long non-coding RNA from Schistocerca nitens (vagrant locust), 204 nucleotides. RefSeq lists it as uncharacterized. NCBI's taxonomy places the organism in Eukaryota, Metazoa, Arthropoda, Insecta, Orthoptera, Acrididae. The transcript is spliced from 2 exons. The record is from RefSeq and is a predicted model, not a curated record.
UCUGUAAGAUAAGGCUCUGCGUCCGGUUUCAUCGCCUGGACAUAACUUCCGUUCUUCGUGUUGGUGACGGCGUGUUGGGCGAUUGUAAGAAAAGAUGUCGGCCCAUAAAACUUUCAUCAUUAAAAGGAAGCUUGCGAAAAAGCUGAAACAAAAUAGACCCAUUCCACAGUGGGUGAGGAUGCGAACAGAUAAUACCAUACGGUA